AAAUGAAUAUCAUUUGUACCGAAGACAGCAGGGGCUUCUGGCUUAAUAUCCUGCCUAGGUAAUUCGAUAAAUAUAGUUUUAGGACUAUGACUUUUGAAAUUACUGCCUUCAUGUCUGCUUGAUAUGAAGGCUUUUUCUUUAAACGG
Molecule: regulatory RNA element, 146 nt
Rfam family: Ribosomal protein L10 leader
About the family: This family is a putative r-protein leader autoregulatory structure found in B. subtilis and other low-GC Gram-positive bacteria. It is located in the 5' untranslated regions of mRNAs encoding ribosomal proteins L10 and L12 (rplJ-rplL). A Rho-independent transcription terminator structure that is probably involved in regulation is included at the 3' end.
Source: Rfam